Small nucleolar RNA from Scleropages formosus (Asian bonytongue), 92 nucleotides. It matches the Rfam family "Small nucleolar SNORD12/SNORD106". From Rfam's summary of the family: This family belong to the C/D class of snoRNA which contain the C (UGAUGA) and D (CUGA) box motifs. This family includes the human ortholog of mouse snoRNA HBII-99 and human snoRNA U106. NCBI's taxonomy places the organism in Eukaryota, Metazoa, Chordata, Actinopteri, Osteoglossiformes, Osteoglossidae. The record is from Rfam.
GUUGGUGUCCGUGAUGACUUUUUUUUCCCCGACAGAUCGACCAUGUUGACGGUCAGCAAUUUUAAGCCAAAGUUGUCUGAUAAGGCAUCUGU